This 621-nucleotide long non-coding RNA is filed under the name Mytilus galloprovincialis (Mediterranean mussel). The record is from RNAcentral. Lineage: Eukaryota; Metazoa; Mollusca; Bivalvia; Mytilida; Mytilidae.
GCUGUAUCUAAAAUAAAAGAAAAACUUUCCAAACUAAACAUGAAACUUCUCCGGUAACAUAAUAAUAUAGACCCUUUACAAAAACAAACAAACAAACAAAUACCCCCCCCCCCCCCCCUUUUUUUUUCCAAAUCAAUCAAUAAAAAAAAUCAAUUAUCCAUUCAUCAGAGGGGAAAGACUGCCUAACAAUUGUUUUCAAAACAAUUGCUUUAUAUUUAUUAAGUCUUUCCACUUUUCUGUGGAAAGACUUAUUGUUUUGUUCUGAUUAUUAUUAUUAUUAUUAUUAUUAUUAUUAUUUUUUUUUUUUUUUUUCCGCCAAAUUUUGUUCUUGCGAUAAAUGUUUGUUUCGCAAUAUGUCGCUUAGAUAUUUCUCAUAUUGUAUCGUAUAGUUUAUGCGCUUUUAAAUUUCACCCUGCUAAGACGAACAAUUUUCUCUGUAAGAGUUAUCUCCCUAUUCACUGUUUAUCAUGUGUGUGCAUCUCCUUCGUAACAAAAAAAGAUAGCGACAAAAUUCUUUUUACAAAUUGUUCGUUACAUCCUCAGAAAAUUUUGGCUAAUUUGGAUCGAAGCGAUUCGAUGAAAUUUUAUAGGAGUUAUCUAUCUUUACGGAAUAAAUUUGUC